UGUUACGAGACCACCAUUGCAACAGGGAUGGCCCUGGGUGAUGGUCUCAGGAAGGGGCUGAUCCCCUCCAGGCCAAAUUUGGGGCCAUCUCCCUGUUUUUGGAACCUUUGGGGCCCUGGAUCUCUGGCAAAAGGCAGAGAAAAGCAUCAUUGGGAAAUAUUACUCAGAUGUGGAGUGCCACCCACCUAAGGAUGGCUGGCCUGGGGAAGAAGGCUUCAUGCUAUGCUGGAAGGAGACAGCCCCUGAAUCAGAGAGGCUGAAGGAGUGGCUGGGACGUGUGGCUGCUUCUCUGCCCACCUGUAAUGUGCAUUCAAUUUCCCCCAUUUCUAGAAGGAGGUGCUCGGGCCAAGGUAUUUCUAAGGUCUUUUCCAGCUCUGAGGUUUUCUGAUUCCAGAAUGAAGCCAGAAUUCUGCCCAGGCUUCUCUUAGACCCACGACACAGAGGAUCCAGGAAACAUGAAGAAAGAAUCCUGGAAAGCUUCACACAGGCAGGUGGAGCCCCCGUCCUGCACUACAUCAUCCCCAGUGUGAGUCUUAGACCAUCUCUUUGCUCUGCACACGCCAAGUCCUCAAGCCCUUGAAACUUCAGGAGAUGCUCCCGAAGACAUUCUGGGGCUCACAGGGAGGAGCCCGUCUUCUCCCUCGCACCCCUUCUCCCCUGCUUACGUCCAAGUCUUAUCCAUUUCUAAGGCAAAACACCUUCCUUGUACCGAUAAUUUCUUCGGAGCCCCUCCCAGUCUCACCCUGCCUCGCAAGUACCUAUUAAGGUGCUUACAAUUUCCCCCUCCCCACAAAGCAGCUCUCUCCUUCAGAGGAAUCCUGGUGUCAGCUUUAAUUUAUACACCUUUUCUACCUUUAAUCCAUAGAUGGAGAUUAUAACUGGGUAAGACCUUUUAACCUGGAGUCUCCAGCUCCCAAUCUGUCAGACAGGGGUACACCUUGCUCCUACUGAGACAGGGAACUUAGUCACUUGCCCAAGAUUGUGCCAGUCGGAAGCGAUGGUACUGGGAUUCUGCCCUGGUUCUGUCCUGGUCUCCAGCCCCUUCUUGGGGGCUUUCUGGCCUGGGUCUGUGCCCACAGGCCAGUUCUCUGUUAGCAGGCAGAGCUGUGGGUGGUGUGACACAAUUGCACUGUCAAUGGGUAGAAGCUCAGGAUCUGGAUCUGGAGGGGUGGGGUGUCUAGUGGUCAGACGCUCUGGUCAGGUGGGGCUGGCACCAACCUCCUGCCUCACACCUCAGGGGCGGCAGCAUAUCCUGCCAUCUUCAGGGUGGUGGCCCUAGAGAGAAGGGCGCUGUGUCUGAGUGCCUGGACUCUCCCUCCUUCUCCCAUUCCUCCGUUCCCCAGCCCAGUGAGUGAGCCACCCAGCCACUUCAAAGUCCUUUGUAACUCCCGUUGCUCACCCUGACGGCGGGAUGUUCCCUGAGUCUUUUUUGGCCCCUGGAGACAUUGCCCAACACCAUGUUUGUCAAAUGAUCGACAUGGUCCAGGGUUUUGAAAUAAAGUUCUUAAAGAGAAGGCAAAA
Non-coding RNA from Vicugna pacos (alpaca), 1521 nucleotides. The record is from RefSeq and is a predicted model, not a curated record. NCBI's taxonomy places the organism in Eukaryota, Metazoa, Chordata, Mammalia, Artiodactyla, Camelidae.